GAUGAACGCUGGCGGCGUGCCUAAUACAUGCCAGUCGAGCGAACAGACGAGGCGCUUGCUCCGCUCACGUUAGCGGCGGACGGGUGAGUAACGCGUGUAUAACCUACCUAUAAGACUGGGAUCACUUCGGGAAACCGGAGCUAAUACCGGAUAAUAUCUUGAACCGCAUGGUUCAAUAGUGAAAGACGGUUUUGCUGUCACUUAUAGCUGGAUCCGCGCCGCAUUAGCUAGUUGGUAAGGUAACGGCUUACCAAGGCAACGAUGCGUAGCCGACCUGAGAGGGUGAUCGGCCACCCUGGAACUGGGACGCGGUCCAGACUCCUACGGGAGGCAGCAGUAGGGAAUCUGCCGCAAUGGGCGAAAGCCUGACGGAGCAGCGCCGCGUGAGAUAUGAAGGUCUUGGGAUCGGAAAACUCGGUUAUGAGGGAAGAACAAAUGUGUAAGUAACUAUGCACGUCUUGACGGUACCUAAUCAGAAAGCCCCGGCUAACUACGUG
RNAcentral lists this ribosomal RNA (497 nucleotides) under uncultured bacterium. RNAcentral's name for it is "partial 16S ribosomal RNA". It matches the Rfam family "Bacterial small subunit ribosomal RNA", at positions 28 to 507 of the family's 1533-position model. The record is from RNAcentral.